This is a long non-coding RNA of Bombus impatiens (common eastern bumble bee), 406 nucleotides long. RefSeq lists it as uncharacterized. The transcript is spliced from 2 exons. The record is from RefSeq and is a predicted model, not a curated record. Lineage: Eukaryota; Metazoa; Arthropoda; Insecta; Hymenoptera; Apidae.
UAUAUUACACAUCGGGAAAAUAUAGAGAAAAACAAGAUAUUUAUACAUUGUAAAUUUCGUUAUUUAGAAAUUGUCGUGAGCAUUUUACACACUUUAUUGAAAACCAAUUAUAUAUAACAAUACAUAAUUUCGAUAUACGUAUUAAAUUUAUCCAUCCAAGUGUUUUCAUUAUUUAGUACAACAAACAUAUACAUAAGUAGAGAUUAUUAAUCUACAACGAAAUCAAUAAAUAUGACAUGUAGAAGUAUGCGGUGUAAAAUUACCUGGUACUGAGGAUGUCUUCCUAAUGCAUACAGGAACCAGGAUAUGCUGGUCGCAGUGGUAUCGUGACCCGCGAACAUAAACGUAUUCACCUCAUCACGGAUAUCAACGUCACUAAGUACUUCUCCAUCUUUCGAUAAUUCCA